GGGGGGGGGGGUGAAAAUUCCCCAAAAAAAAUUCGUGCAAAGAAAAAUGCCUGGAAAAAAAUUCGUGCAGCCAUUACGUCAGAGAAAAAAAAAUUCGUGCAAGCAAACAGCAAAGUACAAGUAGUCUUGAAAAAAAAUUCGUGCAGAGGUUAAAUGCAUUAAAAAAAAUUCCUGCAGAGACAUGAGACUGAAAAAAAAAUUCGUGCCGCAAAAGUUUUAUACCCCCUCUCCC
This is a non-coding RNA of Paramuricea clavata, 232 nucleotides long. The record is from the annotation of a GenBank genome assembly. NCBI's taxonomy places the organism in Eukaryota, Metazoa, Cnidaria, Anthozoa, Malacalcyonacea, Plexauridae.